GCAGCAUUUGGAAGCAAUCCGGAGAAGGACUUGGAUCUAUGCAUUGUUUCACAGUUUGUGUCCAAUUGCUUCAAGUAUUCACUCUGGAUUUGAACUGGUUCGUAUUCCUUGACAAUUUGCUUUGAAGACUGUCAGAUGAGGACAGCCAAAGCGUAUGUGACUGAGGCAAGAGCAACCCACUUCCCCCGGAUUCCCCACCCAAGCCUUCCUUGGGGCCAGGAGGGCAUCUGCUGCCCGUCUGCAGGGAUGUGCGAACGGGCAGAGAGAGGCUCUGCGCUCACACCCCGUCUCCUGUCUCUUAGUCCUUGGACCUGUCACGUAGCUAGAAGGAUGCCAAGGACUUUAUGGAGUCUGUCAAGCGCUCAGUACUUCUGUCUUUAGUGGCAUCCUCAUAGACAAACUUCGCAGGUGUUAAAAAAAAACCAAACCAAAACC
Long non-coding RNA from Cuculus canorus (common cuckoo), 435 nucleotides. RefSeq lists it as uncharacterized. NCBI's taxonomy places the organism in Eukaryota, Metazoa, Chordata, Aves, Cuculiformes, Cuculidae. The record is from RefSeq and is a predicted model, not a curated record. The transcript is spliced from 3 exons.